UACGGAGGGUGCAAGCGUUAUCCGGAUUCACUGGGUUUAAAGGGUGCGUAGGCGGGCAGGUAAGUCAGUGGUGAAAUCCUGCAGCUCAACUGUAGAAUUGCCAUUGAUACUGCCAUUCUUGAGUGCGCUUGAAGUAGGCGGAAUGUGCCGUGUAGCGGUGAAAUGCUUAGAUAUGGCACAGAACACCAAUUGCGAAGGCAGCUUACUAAGGCGAUACUGACGCUGAGGCACGAAAGCGUGGGGAUCGAACAGG
Molecule: ribosomal RNA, 253 nt
Filed under: uncultured bacterium
Lineage: Bacteria
Description: partial 16S ribosomal RNA
Rfam family: Bacterial small subunit ribosomal RNA
Source: RNAcentral